UACGGAGGGUGCGAGCGUUAAUCGGAAUUACUGGGCGUAAAGCGCACGCAGGCGGGCUGUUAAGUCAGAUGUGAAAUCCCCGGGCUUAACCUGGGAAUUGCAUUUGAGACUGGGAAGCUAGAGUACUGUAGGGGGGGGUAGAAUUCCACGUGUAGCGGUGAAAUGCGUAGAGAUGUGGAGGAAUACCGGUGGCGAAGGCGGCCCCCUGGACAUAUACUGACGCUCAGGUGCGAAAGCGUGGGGAGCAAACAGG
RNAcentral lists this ribosomal RNA (253 nucleotides) under uncultured bacterium. RNAcentral describes it as "partial 16S ribosomal RNA". It matches the Rfam family "Bacterial small subunit ribosomal RNA", at positions 524 to 776 of the family's 1533-position model. The record is from RNAcentral.